This 253-nucleotide ribosomal RNA is filed under the name uncultured bacterium. RNAcentral's name for it is "partial 16S ribosomal RNA". It matches the Rfam family "Bacterial small subunit ribosomal RNA", at positions 524 to 776 of the family's 1533-position model. The record is from RNAcentral.
UACGUAGGGCGCAAGCGUUGUCCGGAAUUAUUGGGCGUAAAGAGCUCGUAGGCGGCUUGUCAAGUCGGGUGUGAAAGCCCGGGGCUUAACCCCGGGUCUGCAUUCGAUACGGGCUAGCUAGAGUGUGGUAGGGGAGAUCGGAAUUCCUGGUGUAGCGGUGAAAUGCGCAGAUAUCAGGAGGAACACCGGUGGCGAAGGCGGAUCUCUGGGCCGAUACUGACGCUGAGGAGCGAAAGCGUGGGGAGCGAACAGG